UACGAAGGGGGCUAGCGUUGUUCGGAAUUACUGGGCGUAAAGCGCACGUAGGCGGACUAUUAAGUCAGGGGUGAGAUCCCGGGGCUCAACCCCGGAACUGCCUUUGAUACUGGUAGUCUCGAGUCCGGAAGAGGUGAGUGGAAUUCCGAGUGUAGAGGUGAAAUUCGUAGAUAUUCGGAGGAACACCAGUGGCGAAGGCGGCUCACUGGUCCGGUACUGACGCUGAGGUGCGAAAGCGUGGGGAGCAAACAGG
This 253-nucleotide ribosomal RNA is filed under the name uncultured bacterium. RNAcentral's name for it is "partial 16S ribosomal RNA". It matches the Rfam family "Bacterial small subunit ribosomal RNA", at positions 524 to 776 of the family's 1533-position model. The record is from RNAcentral.